ACCGGCAGCUCAAGUGGUGGCCAUUUUUAUUGGGCCUAAAGCGUUCGUAGCCGGUUUGAUAAGUCUCUGGUGAAAUCCCGCAGCUUAACUGUGGGACUUGCUGGAGAUACUAUUAGACUUGAGGUCGGGAGAGGUUAGGGGUACUCCCAGGGUAGGGGUGAAAGCCACUAAUCUGGGGAGGAACACCGGCGGCGAAGGCGCCUAACUGGAACGAACCUGACGGUGAGUAUCGAAAGCCAGGUGCGCGACCCG
Molecule: ribosomal RNA, 252 nt
Filed under: uncultured prokaryote
Description: partial 16S rRNA
Rfam family: Archaeal small subunit ribosomal RNA
Source: RNAcentral